GUUGAUAAGGUUAAGUGAAUAAGGGCGCACGGUGGAUGCCUUGGCACUAGGAGCCGAUGAAGGACGGGACUAACACCGAUAUGCUUUGGGGAGCUGUACGUAAGCUAUGAUCCAGAGAUUUCCGAAUGGGGGAACCCAACAUCUUUAAUAGGAUGUUACGAUUGUGUGAAUACAUAGCACAUUCGAGGUAGACGCAGAGAACUGAAACAUCUAAGUACCUGCAGGAAGAGAAAGAAAAUUCGAUUCCCUGAGUAGCGGCGAGCGAAACGGGAAAAGCCCAAACCAGCAAGCUUGCUUGUUGGGGUUGUAGGACUCCAAUAUGGUAGUUCUUUCAGAUAGUCGAAUGACUUGGAAAAGUCAGUCAAAGAGGGUAAAAACCCCGUAGACGAAAUGUGGAAGACACCUAGGAGGAUCCUGAGUACGGCGGAACACGAGAAAUUCCGUCGGAAUCCGGGAGGACCAUCUCCCAAGGCUAAAUACUCCCUAGUGACCGAUAGUGAACCAGUACCGUGAGGGAAAGGUGAAAAGCACCCCGGAAGGGGAGUGAAAUAGAACCUGAAACCGUGUGCCUACAACAAGUCAAAGCCCGUUAAUGGGUGAUGGCGUGCCUUUUGUAGAAUGAACCGGCGAGUUACGAUUGCAUGCGAGGUUAAGUUGAAGAGACGGAGCCGCAGCGAAAGCGAGUCUGAAUAGGGCGUUUGAGUAUGUAGUCGUAGACCCGAAACCAUGUGAUCUACCCAUGUCCAGGUUGAAGGUGCGGUAAAACGCACUGGAGGACCGAACCCACGUACGUUGAAAAGUGCGGGGAUGAGGUGUGGGUAGCGGAGAAAUUCCAAACGAACUUGGAGAUAGCUGGUUCUCUCCGAAAUAGCUUUAGGGCUAGCCUCGGAAUUGAGAAUGAUGGAGGUAGAGCACUGUUUGGACUAGGGGCCCAUCUCGGGUUACCGAAUUCAGAUAAACUCCGAAUGCCAUUCAUUCAUAUCCGGGAGUCAGACUGUGAGUGAUAAGAUCCAUAGUCGAAAGGGAAACAGCCCAGACCACCAGCUAAGGUCCCAAAAUAUAUGUUAAGUGGAAAAGGAUGUGGGGUUGCACAGACAACUAGGAUGUUGGCUUAGAAGCAGCCACCAUUUAAAGAGUGCGUAAUAGCUCACUAGUCGAGUGACCCUGCGCCGAAAAUGUACCGGGGCUAAACAUAUUACCGAAGCUGUGGAGUACACCUUUAGGUGUAUUGGUAGGAGAGCGUUCUAAGGGCGUUGAAGGCAGAUCGUGAGGACUGCUGGAGCGCUUAGAAGUGAGAAUGCCGGUAUGAGUAGCGAAAGACAGGUGAGAAUCCUGUCCACCGAAUGACUAAGGUUUCCUGGGGAAGGCUCGUCCGCCCAGGGUUAGUCGGGACCUAAGCCGAGGCCGACAGGCGUAGGCGAUGGAUAACAGGUUGAUAUUCCUGUACCCGUUGUUUUUGUUUGAGCAAUGGAGGGACGCAGGAGGCUAAGGAAUGCAGACGAUCGGAAAUGUCUGUCCAAGCAGUAAGUCUGAAGAGGAGU
RNAcentral lists this ribosomal RNA (1541 nucleotides) under Enterococcus faecium. RNAcentral's name for it is "partial 23S ribosomal RNA". It matches the Rfam family "Bacterial large subunit ribosomal RNA", at positions 1 to 1536 of the family's 2925-position model. The record is from RNAcentral. Lineage: Bacteria; Bacillati; Bacillota; Bacilli; Lactobacillales; Enterococcaceae.